Molecule: ribosomal RNA, 478 nt
Filed under: uncultured bacterium
Lineage: Bacteria
Description: bacterial SSU rRNA
Rfam family: Bacterial small subunit ribosomal RNA
Source: RNAcentral
AAUGAACGUUGGCGGCGUGGAUUAGGCAUGCGAGUCGCGCGAGAAUGUAGCAAUACAGGACAGCGGCGAAAGGGAGAGGACAACAUGGGAAUCUGCCCUGGGGACGAGGAUAGCGUCGGGAAACUGACAGUAAUACUCGAUAAUGUUUGCGGACCAAAGGUGUGAUUCCGCCCCAGGAUGAGCCCGUGCCCCAUUAGCUUGUUGGCAGGGUAACGGCCUACCAAGGCUAUGAUGGGUAGCUGGUGUGAGAGCACGACCAGCCUCACUGGCACUGAGACACUGGCCAGACACCUACGGGUGGCUGCAGUCGAGAAUCUUUGGCAAUGGACGAAAGUCUGACCAAGCGACGCCGCGUGCGGGAUGAAGGCCUUCGGGUUGUAAACCGCUGUCGUAGGGAAUCAAAUGUAUUGGGGUACUCCCCUCUACUUGAGAGAUCCUAGGAGGAAGGAGAGGCUAAGCUCGUGCCAGCAGCCGCGGU